GGGGGAGUAGCUCAGUCGGGAGAGCGCAGCGUUCGCAAUGCUGAGGUCGUGGGUUCGAUUCCCAUCUCCUCCACCA
RNAcentral lists this transfer RNA (76 nucleotides) under Alphaproteobacteria bacterium. RNAcentral's name for it is "tRNA-Ala". It matches the Rfam family "tRNA". From Rfam's summary of the family: Transfer RNA (tRNA) molecules are approximately 80 nucleotides in length. Their secondary structure includes four short double-helical elements and three loops (D, anti-codon, and T loops). Lineage: Bacteria; Pseudomonadati; Pseudomonadota; Alphaproteobacteria. The record is from RNAcentral.